ACGUACACUCCUGCGGGAGGCAGCAGUGGGGAAUAUUGCACAAUGGGCGGAAGCCUGAUGCAGCAACGCCGCGUGCGGGAUGACGGCCUUCGGGUUGUAAACCGCUUUCGCCUGUGACGAAGCGUGAGUGACGGUAAUGGGUAAAGAAGCACCGGCUAACUACGUGCCAGCAGCCGCGGUGAUACGUAGGGUGCGAGCGUUGUCCGGAUUUAUUGGGCGUAAAGGGCUCGUAGGUGGUUGAUCGCGUCGGAAGUGUAAUCUUGGGGCUUAACCCUGAGCGUGCUUUGGAUACGGGUUGACUUGAGGAAGGUAGGGGAGAAUGGAAUUCCUGGUGGAGCGGUGGAAUGCGCAGAUAUCAGGAGGAACACCAGUGGCGAAGGCGGUUCUCUGGGCCUUUCCUGACGCUGAGGAGCGAAAGCGUGGGGAGCGAACAGGCUUAGAAACCCUAGUAGUCCCAUG
This 459-nucleotide ribosomal RNA is filed under the name uncultured organism. Its description in RNAcentral is "partial 16S ribosomal RNA". It matches the Rfam family "Bacterial small subunit ribosomal RNA", at positions 329 to 799 of the family's 1533-position model. The record is from RNAcentral.